RNAcentral lists this ribosomal RNA (687 nucleotides) under uncultured bacterium. Its description in RNAcentral is "bacterial SSU rRNA". It matches the Rfam family "Bacterial small subunit ribosomal RNA", at positions 97 to 796 of the family's 1533-position model. The record is from RNAcentral.
GGCGAACGGGUGAGUAACACGUGGGCAACCUGCCCCGGACACCGGGAUAACCCAGGGAAACCUGAGCUAAUACCGGAUACUCCGGCGCGAUCGCAUGGUCGCGCCGGGAAAGCUCCGACGGUCCGGGAUGGGCCCGCGGCCUAUCAGCUUGUUGGUGGGGUAACGGCCCACCAAGGCGACGACGGGUAGCUGGUCUGAGAGGACGGCCAGCCACACUGGGACUGAGACACGGCCCAGACUCCUACGGGAGGCAGCAGUGGGGGAUCUUGCGCUAAUGCGCGAAAGCGUGACGCAGCGACGCCGCGUGGGGGAUGAAGGCCUUCGGGUUGUAAACCCCUUUCGGCAGGGACGAAGGGAAACUGACGGUACCUGCAGAAGAAGUCCCGGCUAACUACGUGCCAGCAGCCGCGGUAACACGUAGGGGACGAGCGUUGUCCGGAUUCAUUGGGCGUAAAGCGCGCGUAGGCGGCUCGGAAAGUCGGGCGUGAAAUGCCGGGGCUCAACCCCGGGACUGCGUCCGAUACUUCCGAGCUGGAGGUAGGUAGGGGAGAUCGGAAUUCCUGGUGUAGCGGUGAAAUGCGCAGAUAUCAGGAGGAACACCGGUGGCGAAGGCGGAUCUCUGGGCCUUACCUGACGCUGAGGCGCGAAAGCUAGGGGAGCGAACAGGAUUAGAUACCCUGGUAGUCC